This is a long non-coding RNA of Electrophorus electricus (electric eel), 1234 nucleotides long. RefSeq lists it as uncharacterized. NCBI's taxonomy places the organism in Eukaryota, Metazoa, Chordata, Actinopteri, Gymnotiformes, Gymnotidae. The record is from RefSeq and is a predicted model, not a curated record.
AGCCAUUGUGCUUAUUGGUGUUCUGCAAUUUUAUUGAAUUUAUGUUUCUGGGUUGCAUCAUUCUUUGGGUGUGCCUCAAAUCUAUUCCAUGUUCCGUAGAACAUUAUCUAGCUAGCUAUCUAACUGUGGAUAUAGUGGAUCCUAGUAAAGUAACUGGGGAUCCAUCCAUCUUUACAAUGCACCAAAUUUGUAGCGCUAGCUAUCUAGCUAGGGUGCAAACAGCUACCUAAACCGAUCCAGUGUAUCAGAGUGCAGUGCCAAUAAAAUCAAAAGAAAAAAAGAAGUCGGCCGAAACGCCAACAAUUCAACAUUCCUGCAAAAUGCCUAUACAGCCACGGGUUCAACCGAGGUUGCUGUGACACAAGCAACAGACCUGAAUCACAUGGAAUCAGAGUGCUCAGACUACAGUAUUGGAGAAUUUAUUGGAUGAUUUCCUGACUAUGGUGCAAUAUUUUGCCUCCUUCCAUAUGCCAGUUAACACCAUCUAGCUAGGGUUGACCUCAGCUUGAGGUGAAACAACAGUCAUUACCCUGAGGGGGUAUGAUUCUUUGCCAACCAUAGAGAGAGAGAGAUAAGAUCAGAAAACAAAAACAGAGGUGAGUGCUGAAACGUGGGGAGUGGAGUGCGUCACCCUGCAGUGAGUCAUCAGAAAGGCAGAGGUUAUCUUCUAAUCAAUGCUGCUCCACGAGGGUCAACCUGUCCACACAACUGCGUAUGUGCCAGGGAUAAAACCACCUCAUUUAAACCUGGACUGAGGGACAACGGCCUCAACUGAGGCCAGGGGACCUCUUCAGUUCAAGCAAAGAGACCGCACUGAAAUAAUAUAUACAUAGUGUUCGAUGUCAUAUGGCACUCAGAAUAUCUGAAAUCUUACAGACUAUGACAGACACUUCUGCUUAUUUGAAUAUGUAUUAUGCACAAUAAAACCAAAUCUAUUACUUAUAUAUAUAUAUAUAUAUAAUAUAAAUCAUGUUACCGCCAACUUAGAGUUUAGAAAUGUAGAUGAAUAUAAUUGUUACAUCCUGUUCUAACAACUUAUUGUAAACAUUGUUUUGUUUUUUGUUUUUUUCCCUGUUACCUGACAGCACAUUAUUUGACAGGAAUGCGUUAUUAAGAAGGUUCCACGUCAGGCACCGAUUAUAUUGGCCUUCUUGAACUCAGUUAAAUGCUUUAUGAAUUGAAAACAGAUAUAUAUUAAAGUGGUGAAAUAAACUGCUAAUUGACUCUAAACUCA